RNAcentral lists this unclassified non-coding RNA (320 nucleotides) under plant metagenome. RNAcentral's name for it is "partial contains 5.8S ribosomal RNA, internal transcribed spacer 2, and large subunit ribosomal RNA". The stretch from base 1 to 105 matches the Rfam family "5.8S ribosomal RNA", at positions 50 to 154 of the family's 154-position model. The record is from RNAcentral.
GAAAUGCGAUAAGUAAUGUGAAUUGCAGAAUUCAGUGAAUCAUCGAAUCUUUGAACGCACAUUGCGCCCGCCAGUAUUCUGGCGGGCAUGCCUGUUCGAGCGUCAUUACAACCCUCAGGCCCCCGGGCCUGGCGUUGGGGAUCGGCGGAAGCCCCCUGCGGGCACAACGCCGUCCCCCAAAUACAGUGGCGGUCCCGCCGCAGCUUCCAUUGCGUAGUAGCUAACACCUCGCAACUGGAGAGCGGCGCGGCCACGCCGUAAAACACCCAACUUCUGAAUGUUGACCUCGAGUCAGGUAGGAAUACCCGCUGAACUUAAGC